Molecule: long non-coding RNA, 1269 nt
Filed under: Anolis carolinensis (green anole)
Lineage: Eukaryota; Metazoa; Chordata; Lepidosauria; Squamata; Anolidae
Description: lncRNA (ENSACAG00000044919.1)
Source: RNAcentral
AUGAAUGGCAGCCAUCUAGAGGAGUCAUCCGGACUAUACACUUAUCACUCAGUAAGGGGGGGAAGUGUUCUAGAUUAUUUUAUAAUCUCACCUGGGUUGUUGCCAGCAGUCAAAACUUUUAUAGUGGACAUACGUCCGGAAAGUGACCAUCACCCCAUUAAACUAGUCACAAAAACAGACGUAGAGCAGCACAGAGUGUCAAAUAAUUAUCAUCUGGACCUGGUCUCCAUGGGACCCAGACGACUCAAGUGGUCGGAGCCCUUGAGCGAUAAGGUUAUAGACCUACUUAAUGGACCUAUUCUGGAAACUUGCAGAGAGAAGAUACUCAAAUGUACUAUUGACCCAAUAGAGGGUUAUCAGCAAAUUAUUACCUCCCUUAAACCAUACCUGAUUCACACAGAACCAACCAAAGUCAACAAGUCCAGUAAGGGAAGUUGGUUCGAUGCAGAAUGCAGGAGCCAAAAAAAGAUCCUAUCCCUGGCCAUCAGAGCAGCCAACAAAAAUGGGACUGAACAAAACUAUAAAAGCCUGAGUGAAACCCGUUCACAAUAUAAAACCCUACUAAAAAGGAAGAAACUUGAAUUCAACAGGCAAAAUUGGAUAAAGCUGGAUCUGGCAGUUAGGCAAAAGGAUGAGGUCAAAUUCUGGAAUAUGGUGCAUUCAGGGCUAAGGCCCUUGCAACCUCAUUUAGACUCUCAAAUUGCAGCACCUACAUGGGAAACUUAUUUUAGAGAAAUAUUCAGUGACCCAGAGACUGCCAAGGAUGUGUCUAGACCCAUUGACCCCCCUGAUUGGACACCAGUUUCUCCAGAGGAAAUCGAAGGCCUGCUUCAAAAAUUUAAAACAGGAAAAGCCCUAGGAGAGGAUAUGCUACCUCCCGAAUUGUUUAGAUGUAACAUCACCUGGUGGGCUCCCAUCCUGGCCAGACUGUUUACAUAUAUCAACCAGACAGGAAUCAUCCCAAAUGGGUGGAAAACUAGUAUAAUUGUCCCUUUAUAUAAAAAAGGCAAUAGGAUGGACCCACGCAAUUAUAGACCUAUUAGCCUGUUGGAUGUAGUGUCAAAAAUCUAUGGUAGGUUUCUGUUAAAUAAAUUACAUAGCUGGGCAGAGGAGAAUAAUAUUAUUGCAGAAGAACAGGCCGGAUUUUGGCAAGGCAGAAGCACAAUAGACCAAUGUUUUGUGCUUUCACACCUAAUCCAAAAUAGUCUGAAGAAACCAAAGGGUUUCUAUACACGGCAUUUGUGGAUUUUACCUCAGCUUUUGACUUAA